CCUACGGGUGACAGCAGUGGGGAAUAUUGCACAAUGGGGGAAACCCUGAUGCAGCGACGCCGCGUGAGUGAAGAAGUAAUUCGUUAUGUAAAGCUCUAUCAGCAGGGAAGAAAAUGACGGUACCUGAUUAAGAAGCCCCGGCUAACUACGUCCCAGCAGCCGCGGUAAUAAGUAGGGGGCAAGCGUUAUCCGGAGGUACUGGGUGGAAGGGGAGCGUAGACGGCAGUGCAAGUCUGGAGUGAAAGGCGGAGGCUCAACCACCGGACUGCUCUGGAAACUGUACGGCUGGAGUGCAGGAGAGGUAAGUGGAAUUCCUAGUGUAGCGGUGAAAUGCGUAGAUAUUAGGAGGAACACCAGUGGCGAAGGCGGCUUACUGGACUGUAACUGACGUUGAGGCUCGAAAGCGUGGGGAGCAAACAGGAUUAGAUACCCUUGUAGUC
Molecule: ribosomal RNA, 440 nt
Filed under: uncultured bacterium
Lineage: Bacteria
Description: partial 16S ribosomal RNA
Rfam family: Bacterial small subunit ribosomal RNA
Source: RNAcentral